CUGACGCAGCGACGCGCGUGAGGGAUGACGGCUCGGGUGUAAACCUCUUCAGCAGGGACGAAUUCAGACGGUACCUGCAGAAGAAGCACCGGCCAACUACGUGCCAGCAGCCGCGGUAAUACGUAGGGUGCAAGCGUGUCCGGGAAUUAUUGGGCGUAAAGAGCUCGUAGGCGGUCUGUCGCGUCGGCUGUGAAAACUCGGGGCUCAACCCCGAGCGUGCAGUCGAUACGGGCAGACUAGAGUGCUGUAGGGGAGACUGGAAUUCCUGGUGUAGCGGUGAAAUGCGCAGAUAUCAGGAGGAACACCGGUGGCGAAGGCGGGUCUCUGGGCAGUAACUGACGCUGAGGAGCGAAAGCGUGGGGAGCGAACAGGAUUAGAUACCCUGGUAGUCCACGCCGUAAACGGUGGGUGCUAGGUGUGAGCGGUAUUCCACGCCGUUCGUGCCGCAGCCAACGCAUUAAGCACCCCGCCUGGGGAGUACGGCCGCAAGGCUAAAACUCAAAGGAAUUGACGGGGGCCCGCACAAGCAGCGGAGCAUGUGGCUUAAUUCGACGCAACGCGAAGAACCUUACCAAGGCUUGACAUACACCGAAAACUCGUAGAGAUACGGGGUCCGCAAGGGCGGUGUACAGGUGGUGCAUGGUUGUCGUCAGCUCGUGUCGUGAGAUGUUGGGUUAAGUCCCGCAACGAGCGCAACCCUCGUUCUAUGUUGCCAGCACAUCAUGGUGGGGACUCAUAGGAGACUGCCGGGGUCAACUCGGAGGAAGGUGGGGACGACGUCAAAUCAUCAUGCCCCUUAUGUCUUGGGCUGCACAUAUGCUACAAUGGCCGGUACAAAGGGCUGCUAAGCCGUGAGGUGGAGCGAAUCCCAAAAAGCCGGUCUCAGCUCGGAUUGGGGUCUGCAACUCGACCCCAUGAAGUCGGAGUUGCUAGUAAUCGCAGAUCAGCAACGCCGCGGUGAAUACGUUCCCGGG
RNAcentral lists this ribosomal RNA (974 nucleotides) under uncultured bacterium. RNAcentral's name for it is "bacterial SSU rRNA". It matches the Rfam family "Bacterial small subunit ribosomal RNA", at positions 383 to 1378 of the family's 1533-position model. The record is from RNAcentral.